Podarcis lilfordi (Lilford's wall lizard) is the source of this 78-nucleotide non-coding RNA. The record is from the annotation of a GenBank genome assembly. NCBI's taxonomy places the organism in Eukaryota, Metazoa, Chordata, Lepidosauria, Squamata, Lacertidae.
UCUCCUGGGAUAUCUUAGUUGGUAGAGCAGGAGACUCUUAAUCUCAGGGUCGUGGGCUUGAGCCCCACAUCGGGUGAA